Molecule: ribosomal RNA, 253 nt
Filed under: uncultured bacterium
Lineage: Bacteria
Description: partial 16S ribosomal RNA
Rfam family: Bacterial small subunit ribosomal RNA
Source: RNAcentral
GACAGAGGGUGCAAACGUUGUUCGGAAUUACUGGGCGUAAAGCGUCUGUAGGUGGCUUUUUAAGUCUGCCGUCAAAUCCCAGGGCUUAACCCUGGACAGGCGGUGGAAACUACCAAGCUGGAGUACGGUAGGGGCAGAGGGAAUUUCCGGUGGAGCGGUGAAAUGCGUAGAGAUCGGAAAGAACACCAACGGCGAAGGCACUCUGCUGGGCCGACACUGACACUGAGAGACGAAAGCUAGGGGAGCAAAUGGG